UACGUAGGGUGCAAGCGUUAAUCGGAAUUACUGGGCGUAAAGCGUGCGCAGGCGGUUAUGUAAGUCAGACGUGAAGUCCCUCGGCUUAACCUGGGAACUGCGUCUGAUACUGGAUGGCUUGGAUUUGGGAGAGGGAUGCGGAAUUCCAGGUGUAGCGGUGAAAUGCGUAGAUAUCUGGAGGAACACCGGUGGCGAAGGCGGCAUCCUGGACCGACAUUGACGCUGAGGCGCGAAAGCCAGGGGAGCAAACGGG
This 253-nucleotide ribosomal RNA is filed under the name uncultured bacterium. Its description in RNAcentral is "partial 16S ribosomal RNA". It matches the Rfam family "Bacterial small subunit ribosomal RNA", at positions 524 to 776 of the family's 1533-position model. The record is from RNAcentral.